CCUACGGGGGGCAGCAGUGAGGAAUAUUGGUCAAUGGGCGCGAGCCUGAACCAGCCAAGUAGCGUGAAGGAUGACUGCCCUACGGGUUGUAAACUUCUUUUAUAAAGGAGUAAAGUGAGCCACGUGUGCCUUUUUGUAUGUACUUUAUGAAUAAGCAUCGGCUAACUCCGUGCCAGCAGCCGCGGUAAUACGGAGGAUCCGAGCGUUAUCCGGAUUUUUUGGGUUUAAAGGGAGCGUAGAUGGGUUGUUAAGUCAGUUGUGAAAGUGUGCGGCUCAACCGUAAGAUUGCAGUUGAUACUGGCAGUCUUGAGUACAGGUGAGGUAGGCGGAAUGCGUGGUGUAGCGGUGAAAUGCAUAGAUAUCACGAAGAACUCCGAUUGCGAAGGCAGCUUACUAAACUGCCACUGACACUGAUGCACGAAAGUGUGGGGAUCGAACAGGAUUAGAUACCCUUGUAGUC
RNAcentral lists this ribosomal RNA (460 nucleotides) under uncultured bacterium. RNAcentral's name for it is "partial 16S ribosomal RNA". It matches the Rfam family "Bacterial small subunit ribosomal RNA", at positions 338 to 795 of the family's 1533-position model. The record is from RNAcentral.